Long non-coding RNA from Nicotiana attenuata, 210 nucleotides. RefSeq lists it as uncharacterized. The record is from RefSeq and is a predicted model, not a curated record. The transcript has 3 exons. Lineage: Eukaryota; Viridiplantae; Streptophyta; Magnoliopsida; Solanales; Solanaceae.
AGGUUUUAUGAUUUUACUCUAAUCGGGCUAGCAUGUCCCACUUCCGCAACUAAUAUCUCUCUAUUGCUUCUUUCUCUUGGCUGCCAAGGUUUUAUGAUUUUACUCUAAUCAGGCUAGCAUAUCCCACUUCCGCAACUAAUAUCUCUCUGUGCUUCUUUCUCUUGGCUGCCAAGAUCCAGGUCCCGGACAGCAGCAGUAGCUCGGGAGCCA